This 72-nucleotide transfer RNA is filed under the name Camelus bactrianus (Bactrian camel). It matches the Rfam family "tRNA". Rfam says of the family: Transfer RNA (tRNA) molecules are approximately 80 nucleotides in length. Their secondary structure includes four short double-helical elements and three loops (D, anti-codon, and T loops). RNAcentral also lists the same sequence under 2 other names. Lineage: Eukaryota; Metazoa; Chordata; Mammalia; Artiodactyla; Camelidae. The record is from Rfam by way of RNAcentral.
GAGGGUAUAGCUCAGAGGUAGAGCGCAUGCCUAGAAUACACAAGGUCCUGGGUUCAAUCCCCAGUACCUCCA